RNAcentral lists this non-coding RNA (18 nucleotides) under Arabidopsis thaliana (thale cress). Lineage: Eukaryota; Viridiplantae; Streptophyta; Magnoliopsida; Brassicales; Brassicaceae. The record is from RNAcentral.
UGAGCCUGCGUAGUAUUA